RNAcentral lists this microRNA (23 nucleotides) under Caenorhabditis elegans. Its description in RNAcentral is "cel-miR-8200-5p". The record is from miRBase by way of RNAcentral. Lineage: Eukaryota; Metazoa; Nematoda; Chromadorea; Rhabditida; Rhabditidae.
UGGCUCAAAUCUCCAGUCAGACC